CUAGAGGCUGUCUUCAGGAACCCCUGGGGCUGUGGAGGACUGCAAGGAGCGCGGCCCCUGCUCCGCACCUCCCAGAAUUUUACCUGAGAGAUUUGUGAUCUGGUCCAUGUGGUUUUCACAACAGAACACAGCUGCACCACAGAAAAGUGAACUGUUCGUUAUAUGGCCAACUGGGUAUGCUUUGGAAUACACAGAAGAGACCUUCCCAUAACAUGAGAAAAGAUAAUCAGCAGGUCCUCUCCACUCUCUUCUGCUCUACCUGUGCCAUUCUCAGCACAGUGUAUUCCAAGAAUAGACUGAUGCCCAAAAGGAAAGUCAAGGACAUAUCCUGGGUCCUCUUCAGACUCAGAUUUCCUCACUGGACAGCAAGACCCACAAUAAAUCUACUUUCGGGUGUUGAAAGAAUCGCUGUACACCUGCUGGAAUGGCUACAAUCAGACUGAGAGUGCCAAGUGUUGGCAAGAAUAUGGAGAAGUUGUAAUCUGAAGACAUUCCUGAUAGAAAAGCAAAAUGGCACACUUUGGGAAUGGUUGACAAUUUCUUUAAAGUUAAGCAUGCAUAUAUAUUCACAACCAAGGAAUUCAGUCCAAAAGCUAUGCACACACAUUCAGUCCAAAAGAACUGAGAAACACAUUCACUCAGACUUGCAUACAAAUGGUCAUAGUAACUUUAUUCAUAGAAUCCAAGACUAGA
Molecule: long non-coding RNA, 693 nt
Organism: Jaculus jaculus (lesser Egyptian jerboa)
Lineage: Eukaryota; Metazoa; Chordata; Mammalia; Rodentia; Dipodidae
Exons: 3
Source: RefSeq, a predicted model, not a curated record